Molecule: ribosomal RNA, 497 nt
Filed under: uncultured bacterium
Lineage: Bacteria
Description: partial 16S ribosomal RNA
Rfam family: Bacterial small subunit ribosomal RNA
Source: RNAcentral
GAUGAACGCUGGCGGCGUGCCUAAUACAUGCAAGUCGAGCGAACAGACGAGGAGCUUGCUCCUCUGACGUUAGCGGCGGACGGGUGAGUAACACGUGGAUAACCUACCUAUAAGACUGGGAUAACUUCGGGAAACCGGAGCUAAUACCGGAUAAUAUAUUGAACCGCAUGGUUCAAUAGUGAAAGACGGUUUUGCUGUCACGUAUAGAUGGAUCCGCGCCGCAUUAGCUAGUUGGUAAGGUAACGGCUUAACAAGGCAACGAUGCGUAGCCGAGCGGAGAGGGUGAUCGGCCACCCUGGAACUGAGACACGGUCCAGACUACUAAGGGAGGCAGCAGUAGGGAAUCUUCCGCAAUGGGCGAAAGCCUGACGGAGCAACGCCGCGUGAGUGAUGAAGGUCUUCGGAUCGUAAAACUCUGUUAUUAGGGAAGAACAAAUGUGUAAGUAACUAUGCACGUCUUGACGGUACCUAAUCAGAAAGCCACGGCUAACUACGUG